UGGGGAAUAUUGGACAAUGGGCGAAAGCCUGAUCCAGCAAUGCCGCGUGAGUGAUGAAGGCCUUAGGGUUGUAAAGCUCUUUUACCCGGGAAGAUAAUGACCGUACCGGGAGAAUAAGCCCCGGCUAACUCCGUGCCAGCAGCCGCGGUAAUACGGAGGGGGCUAGCGUUAUUCGGAAUUACUGGGCGUAAAGCGCGCGUAGGCGGUUUUUCAAGUCAGAGGUGAAAGCCUGGAGCUCAACUCCAGAAUUGCCUUUGAAACUGGAUCACUAGAGUCUUGGAGAGGUCAGUGGAAUUCCGAGUGUAGAGGUGAAAUUCGUAGAUAUUCGGAAGAACACCAGUGGCGAAGGCGACUGACUGGACAAGUACUGACGCUGAGGUACGAAAGCAUGGGGAGCAAA
RNAcentral lists this ribosomal RNA (400 nucleotides) under uncultured bacterium. Its description in RNAcentral is "bacterial SSU rRNA". It matches the Rfam family "Bacterial small subunit ribosomal RNA", at positions 355 to 772 of the family's 1533-position model. The record is from RNAcentral.